UGACAAGAAACAAUGUAAUGUGGAACCGUACAGCAGAAGGGAUUGCGGCUACCCCACAAUAAGUGCAGCGGAAUGUAAGAAGAGGAAUUGUUGCUUUGACUGCAGCAUUCCCGGGGUUAACUGGUGUUUCUUCAAGUCACAAGGAAGUGACAAGAAACAAUGUAAUGUGGAACCGUACAGCAGAAGGGAUUGCGGCUACCCCACAAUAAGUGCAGCGGAAUGUAAGAAGAGGAAUUGUUGCUUUGACUGCAGCAUUCCCGGGGUUAACUGGUGUUUCUUCAAGUCACAAGGACUCAAGGCGCUUGAGAUAUGGCUUCUGGAACUGAACACAGGAUUCUAAAUGUGGCUGUACCAAGGACCUAUACAGUGGCAUUACAGGUUGAGUAUCCCUUAUCCAAAA
Molecule: long non-coding RNA, 400 nt
Organism: Pseudophryne corroboree (corroboree frog)
Lineage: Eukaryota; Metazoa; Chordata; Amphibia; Anura; Myobatrachidae
Exons: 3
Source: RefSeq, a predicted model, not a curated record